Molecule: long non-coding RNA, 1319 nt
Organism: Arabidopsis lyrata subsp. lyrata
Lineage: Eukaryota; Viridiplantae; Streptophyta; Magnoliopsida; Brassicales; Brassicaceae
Exons: 3
Source: RefSeq, a predicted model, not a curated record
UGCAGGCUGAUGGUGGACAUUUUUCUGCUGAAAAUUCUGGUUGCAUGUUUUUUAUUGCCCCUUUUGUGAGCUAUAUUUCACUACUCUCUUAAUUAAAUCGUAUUUUUUUUUUGGUAAAGUUGAUGUGAGAAGAAAAUAAUCAAUAUGAUGCAAAAACAUAUCAGGUAAUAUAUGCUUAUAUAUCACUGGUCAUCUAGAUGAAAUCUUCUCUCAAGAGCAUCGUAAAGAGAUGAUGCGUUACAUAUAUAAUGCACCAUUUUAUUCAUUUUUGCUAAGUGAGUAAGUGACAUCACUACUUUUUAUCAUUCUUCUCCAAAAAUGGAUCAAAUCUUAUUUACCUAGCUUGAAUCUCCGGCGAUCUUAUGGAGAUGGUAACAACGAGCUUCUCAAAAUCGAGCCUAUGUACCUUCAAUUCCCUUUUGAAUUGAAGAAGCAGAUGUCUUGCUCUCUUAACUUGACGAACAAGACAGACAAUAAUGGGGCCUUUAAGGUAAGAAGUUUUCGGAAUCGUUAACUUGUUGUUGAUUAUCUCUUGUGUUUCUAAGGCUUCUAGGGGUUGUUUCUUUUUUCUUUUAAUUUAAGGUUAAGACGAAAAAUCCGAAAAAUUAUUGCGUUAGGUCUAAUUAUGGACUAAUUCUUCCAAAGUCAACUUGUAAAGUUCUUGGUCCGUUCUCUAAUCUUUUUUUUGGGGAAACAUUUUUUUUGCUUCAGCUGCUAAACUGGUUCUUGUAUUAGGAAUUUGAUGAAUCUUUUUUGGUGUUUGUCUAGUGACAAUGCAAGCCCAAAAGGAAGUUCUUAAUUCUGAUAUGCAGAGCAAUGAAAAGUUUAUGAUUCAAAGUGUAAUAGCUAGUCCUGGACUCACAGCCAAAGAAGUUACUCGUGAGACGUUAAGGAAAGAAUCGGGGCAUCUAGUUGAGGAGACUAAACUGAGAGUUACUUAUGUUUCCUCCACCACGACAACAUCACCAAUUCACCAAGGACCAGAAGAGGGUUUAUAUUUUAGUGUUUUUGUUAGAUAUUUUCUCUUUACUUCAUUGUAGAUAUUCAUCACCAGUAACAGUACUCUUACCGAUGUCUCUUGCUGUGGUGUUGGAGCUGCUUGCCACGAGCUCGAAAUAGCGACUCGUAAAAAUCGAAGGAAUUUGUACAAUAAUUUGUUUGUAAAAUAAUUAUGAGCUCAUAAUCAUUUUGUAUAUAUGUAUUAAUGACCAUCUAGAUAAUCAUAUCCUUUAGAUGUAAAGGAUGAUCUUCAAAGGUUUGAGUUUGGACUGUACAUAUUUAGAAACUUAUUUCUAAAACUAAUCUGAACAAAUUUUACA